GACGAACGCUGGCGGCGUGCCUAAUACAUGCAAGUCGAGCGGACCUCUUCGGAGGUCAGCGGCGGACGGGUGAGUAACACGUAGGCAACCUGCCUGUAAGACUGGGGUAACUCCGGGAAACCGGAGCUAAUACCGGAUAUUAUGUCAAACCGCAUGGUUUGACAUUCAAAGACGGUUUCGGCUGUCACUUACAGAUGGGCCCGCGGCGCAUUAGCUAGUUGGUGAGGUAACGGCUCACCAAGGCGACGAUGCGUAGCCGACCUGAGAGGGUGAUCGGCCACACUGGGACUGAGACACGGCCCAGACUCCUACGGGAGGCAGCAGUAGGGAAUCUUCCGCAAUGGACGAAAGUCUGACGGAGCAACGCCGCGUGAGUGAUGAAGGUUUUCGGAUCGUAAAACUCUGUUGUCAGGGAAGAACAAGUGCCGGAGUAACUGCCGGCGCCUUGACGGUACCUGACCAGAAAGCCACGGCUAACUACGUGCCAGCAGCCGCGGUAA
Molecule: ribosomal RNA, 500 nt
Filed under: uncultured bacterium
Lineage: Bacteria
Description: partial 16S ribosomal RNA
Rfam family: Bacterial small subunit ribosomal RNA
Source: RNAcentral